CAGUCGCCGCGGUAAUACGGAGGGGGCUAGCGUUGUUCGGAAUUACUGGGCGUAAAGCGCACGUAGGCGGCUUUGUAAGUUAGAGGUGAAAGCCCGGGGCUCAACCCCGGAAUAGCCUUUAAGACUGCAUCGCUUGAACGUCGGAGAGGUGAGUGGAAUUCCGAGUGUAGAGGUGAAAUUCGUAGAUAUUCGGAAGAACACCAGUGGCGAAGGCGGCUCACUGGACGACUGUUGACGCUGAGGUGCGAAAGCGUGGGGGGCAAACAGGAUUAGAUACCCCCGUAGUCCCUGUCUCUUAUCC
Molecule: ribosomal RNA, 301 nt
Filed under: uncultured bacterium
Lineage: Bacteria
Description: partial 16S ribosomal RNA
Rfam family: Bacterial small subunit ribosomal RNA
Source: RNAcentral